AACGCACCUUGCACUCCUUGGGUAUUCCGAGGAGUAUGCCUGUUUGAGUGUCAUUAUAUUCUCAAAAACCUAGGUGUUCUCUGAAUGACUAGGCUUUUUGGAUGUGAGGGAUUGCUGGCUUUCUAUCGAGUCCGGCUCCCUUCAAAUGUAUUAGUGGUUGCUUCAUUCACUAGAGUGUGAUAGUAUAUCUACGCUUGUUACAGUGAACUUGAAUAUAAAUCAUCUGCUUUCCAACUGUCUUGAAACAUAACAGGACAUAUUUUGACUAUUUGACCUCAAAUCAGGUAGGACUACCCGCUGAACUUAA
This 307-nucleotide non-coding RNA is filed under the name uncultured fungus. The record is from RNAcentral. RNAcentral also lists the same sequence under 1 other name. Lineage: Eukaryota; Fungi.